This 301-nucleotide ribosomal RNA is filed under the name uncultured bacterium. Its description in RNAcentral is "partial 16S ribosomal RNA". It matches the Rfam family "Bacterial small subunit ribosomal RNA", at positions 509 to 808 of the family's 1533-position model. The record is from RNAcentral.
CAGUAGCCGCGGUAAUACGUAGGUGGCAAGCGUUGUCCGGAAUUAUUGGGCGUAAAGGGCUCGCAGGCGGUUUCUUAAGUCUGAUGUGAAAGCCCCCGGCUCAACCGGGGAGGGUCAUUGGAAACUGGGAAACUUGAGUGCAGAAGAGGAGAGUGGAAUUCCACGUGUAGCGGUGAAAUGCGUAGAGAUGUGGAAGAACACCAGUGGCGAAGGCGACUCUCUGGUCUGUAACUGACGCUGAGGAGCGAAAGCGUGGGGAGCGAACAGGAUAGAUACCCCCGUAGUCCCUGUCUCUUAUACA